RNAcentral lists this ribosomal RNA (253 nucleotides) under uncultured bacterium. Its description in RNAcentral is "partial 16S ribosomal RNA". It matches the Rfam family "Bacterial small subunit ribosomal RNA", at positions 524 to 776 of the family's 1533-position model. The record is from RNAcentral.
GACGAAGGUGGCAACCGUUGCUCGGAUUCACUGGGCAUAAAGCGCGCGUAGGUGGCUUGGUAGGUCGUCGGUGAAAUCCUCCGGCUCAACCGGAGAACUGCCGACGAAACCGCCUGGCUUGAGGACGGGAGGGGAGAGUGGAACUCCUGGUGUAGCGGUGAAAUGCGUAGAUAUCAGGAGGAACGCCGGUGGCGAAAGCGACUCUCUGGACCGUUCCUGACACUGAGGCGCGAAAGCUAGGGGAGCAAACAGG